GACGAACGCUGGCGGCGUGCCUAAUACAUGCAAGUAGAACGCACAGUUUAUACCGUAGCUUGCUACACCAUAAACUGUGAGUUGCGAACGGGUGAGUAACGCGUAGGUAACCUGCCUGGUAGCGGGGGAUAACUAUUGGAAACGAUAGCUAAUACCGCAUAAUAUUAAUUAUUGCAUGAUAAUUGAUUGAAAGAUGCAAUUGCAUCACUACCAGAUGGACCUGCGUUGUAUUAGCUAGUAGGUGAGGUAACGGCUCACCUAGGCGACGAUACAUAGCCGACCUGAGAGGGUGAUCGGCCACACUGGGACUGAGACACGGCCCAGACUCCUACGGGAGGCAGCAGGAGGGAAUCUUCGGCAAUGGACGAAAGGCUGACCGAGCAACGCCGCGGGAGUGAAGAAGGUUGUCGGAUCGUAAAGCUCUGUUGUAAGAGAAGAACGGGUGUGAGAGUGGAAAGUUCACACUGUGACGGUAUCUUACCAGAAAGGGACGGCUAACUACGUG
Molecule: ribosomal RNA, 505 nt
Filed under: uncultured bacterium
Lineage: Bacteria
Description: partial 16S ribosomal RNA
Rfam family: Bacterial small subunit ribosomal RNA
Source: RNAcentral